GCAAGAUACAUCCACACUAAAAAAGAUGGCAGAUAAUGCUAGUAGGGUUGUUGAAGAUGAAGAAAAUGGCUAUGGAGGAAGAAAAGUCCAACCAUUUGCCUCUACACCACGGUAAGUUUCAAAUUCUUUUUCUUUUUUUUCUCCUUCUAGUUUUUGAUAGUUGCUCCUCAGUUCUUAUCAUCUGGGGAUAAACCCUUUUGUUUUUGCAGGCCAGAUAUGGACAAAACUGAAGGGAAGAAGCAUCAUCCCACUACAUUAAGCAGAAUUUUGGGCUUCGAAGACCUUUCUUCUUUACAUGUUAGUAUCUUUCUAUAUAUAUUUUUCAAAUAAGGCCAUAGAUACUUUGAUCCUUUCAAUGAUCGUAUUACUGUUGCAAUUGGCACAUUUUGUGAACUGUAAUUCUAUUACUGUUACUGAUAAUAGCAAGACCAAUGGUGCUAUCAGGUAUGGAGGGCAUCUUUAGCAGAGGCUCUUGGCACAGCAUCCCUUGUGUUUGCAAUGGAUACCAUAGUCAUCUCCUCCUACGAAACCGAAACCAAAACACCAAACCUUAUAAUGUCAGCUUUAAUCGCUAUAACUGUUACAAUUCUCCUCAAUGCAACAUUUCCCAUCUCGGGUGGACAUAUCAAUCCUGUAAUCACCUUGUCAGCUGCCUUCACAGGCCUUGUCUCUCUUUCACGGGCUGCCAUAUACAUCUUAGCACAGUGUCUCGGAGGCAUACUGGGUGCACUAGCACUAAAAGCUGUGGUAAACAGCACCAUAGAGAAAACAUUUUCACUUGGAGGUUGUACUCUAAGCAUUGUUGCACCAGGGCCACAUGGGCCUAUUGUCAUCGGCCUCGGAACAGCCCAGGCUCUUUGGCUGGAGAUAAUUUGUACAUUUGUUUUCCUUUUUUCUUCAAUCUGGGUGGCAUUUGACAAACGCCAAGCCAAACCCCUGGGAAGAGUCAUUGUUUGCAGUAUAAUUGGACUGGUUGUUGGUCUUCUUGUGUUCAUUUCUACAACAGUGACUGCAACCAGAGGUUAUGCAGGGGUUGGGAUGAACCCAGCAAGGUGUUUCGGUCCAGCAAUUAUUAGAGGUGGUCACCUGUGGAAUGGGCACUGGGUGUUUUGGGUUGGGCCUAUCAUUGCUAGUAUAGCAUUUGCUGUGUACACCAAGAUAGUUCCAAGCGCUGAGGUCCAUGCAUAAGGCGAAAAAAGCUGUCUUCGUCAAUAAAAUGAAGAGGCUUUAAAUGAUGUAAGAUGGUAUCUUUAAAAUGGCCUCAGGAUUAGGAAGGAAUGCUUGUUUAUGAUGUUACAGAAAUAAUGCCCAAUUACGCUUGCUGUUAGGCUUUCAUUUCUGGUCUUAAAAAGUGCUGAUAUUUUGCACCAGAAAGUGUCAACUUCUUUAUAAUUUAAAAUAAUUUAGGCUUGGUAGUGGAAAAUAAAUUGUACAUGAAGAAUACUUUUUAAAAAAUAUUAAUUAACAGCUUACGGAUUAACUUAAAAAAUUUUAAUU
This 1497-nucleotide unclassified non-coding RNA is filed under the name Hevea brasiliensis (rubber tree). Lineage: Eukaryota; Viridiplantae; Streptophyta; Magnoliopsida; Malpighiales; Euphorbiaceae. The record is from RNAcentral.